GAUGAACGCUGGCGGCGUGCCUAAUACAUGCAAGUCGAGCGAACAGACGAGGAGCUUGCUCCUCUGACGUUAGCGGCGGACGGGUGAGUAACACGUGGAUAACCUACCUAUAAGACUGGGAUAACUUCGGGAAACCGGAGCUAAUACCGGAUAAUAUAUUGAACCGCAUGGUUCAAUAGUGAAAGACGGUUUUGCUGUCACUUAUAGAUGGAUCCGCGCCGCAUUAGCUAGUUGGUAAGGUAACGGCUUACCAAGGCAACGAUGCGUAGCCGACCCGAGAGGGGGAUCGGCCACACUGGAACUGAGACACGGUCCAGACUCCUACGGGAGGCAGCAGUAGGGAAUCUUCCGCAAUGGGCGAAAGCCUGACGGAGCAACGCCGCGUGAGUGAUGAAGGUCUUCGGAUCGUAAAACUCUGUUAUUAGGAAAGAACAAAUGUGUAAGUAACUAUGCACGUCUUGACGGUACCUAAUCAGAAAGCCACGGCUAACUACGUG
This 497-nucleotide ribosomal RNA is filed under the name uncultured bacterium. RNAcentral describes it as "partial 16S ribosomal RNA". It matches the Rfam family "Bacterial small subunit ribosomal RNA", at positions 28 to 507 of the family's 1533-position model. The record is from RNAcentral.